Molecule: ribosomal RNA, 965 nt
Filed under: Vibrio gazogenes
Lineage: Bacteria; Pseudomonadati; Pseudomonadota; Gammaproteobacteria; Vibrionales; Vibrionaceae
Description: bacterial LSU rRNA
Rfam family: Bacterial large subunit ribosomal RNA
Source: RNAcentral
GAGUUAGGCAAAUCCGGCUCUACAAUAGGCUGAGACACGAUGUCGAGCAUCUACGGAUGUGAAGUCAUUGAUGCCAUGCUUCCGGGAAAAGCCUCUAAGCUUCAGUUCACAAGAAAUCGUACCCCAAACCGACACAGGUGGUCGGGUAGAGAAUACCAAGGCGCUUGAGAGAACUCGGGUGAAGGAACUAGGCAAAAUGGUACCGUAACUUCGGGAGAAGGUACGCUCUUGAUGGUGAAGUCCCUUGCGGAUGGAGCUGAUGAGAGUCGCAGAUACCAGGUGGCUGCAACUGUUUAUUAAAAACACAGCACUGUGCAAAAUCGUAAGAUGACGUAUACGGUGUGACGCCUGCCCGGUGCCGGAAGGUUAAUUGAUGGGGUUAGACUACGGUCGAAGCUCUUGAUCGAAGCCCCGGUAAACGGCGGCCGUAACUAUAACGGUCCUAAGGUAGCGAAAUUCCUUGUCGGGUAAGUUCCGACCUGCACGAAUGGCGUAAUGAUGGCCACGCUGUCUCCACCCGAGACUCAGUGAAAUUGAAAUCGCUGUGAAGAUGCAGUGUACCCGCGGCUAGACGGAAAGACCCCGUGAACCUUUACUACAGCUUGGCACUGAACAUUGAGCCUACAUGUGUAGGAUAGGUGGGAGGCUUUGAAGCAGUCACGCUAGUGAUUGUGGAGCCGACCUUGAAAUACCACCCUUGUAUGUUUGAUGUUCUAACUUGGCCCCGUUAUCCGGGGUGAGGACAGUGCCUGGUGGGUAGUUUGACUGGGGCGGUCUCCUCCCAAAGAGUAACGGAGGAGCACGAAGGUGGGCUAAUCACGGUUGGACAUCGUGAGGUUAGUGCAAUGGCAUAAGCCCGCUUAACUGCGAGAGUGACGGCUCGAGCAGGUGCGAAAGCAGGUCAUAGUGAUCCGGUGGUUCUGAAUGGAAGGGCCAUCGCUCAACGGAUAAAAGGUACUCCGGGG